Long non-coding RNA from Betta splendens (Siamese fighting fish), 3327 nucleotides. NCBI's taxonomy places the organism in Eukaryota, Metazoa, Chordata, Actinopteri, Anabantiformes, Osphronemidae. The record is from Ensembl.
AUGGCCCCGCCCCCACGGAAGGCGUCGUCCGUGGGGAACCUCCAGGUCUGCAGCCCACUGAGGACACACGUCAGCGCGUCAGGGGCCAGUGUUCUGCGUUCAGCGUUCUGCGUCCAGCGUUCUGCGUCCAGCGUUCUGCGUUCAGCGUUCUGCGUUCAGCGUUCUGCGUUCAGCGUUCUGCGUCAAGCGUUCUGCGUUAAGCGCUCUGCGUUCAGCGUUCUGCAUCAAGCGUUCUGCGUCAAGCGUUCUGCGUCAAGCGUUCUGCGUCCAGCGUUCUGCGUCCAGCGUUCUGCGUUCAGCGUCAAGCGUUCUGCGUCAAGCGAUCUGCGUUCAGCGUUCUGCGUCAAGCAUUCUGCGUUCUGCGUUCAGCGUUCUGCGUCAAGCGUUCUGCGUCAAGCGUUCUGCGUCAAGCGUUCUGCGUUCUGCGUCAAGCGUUCUGCGUUCAGCGUCCAGCGUUCUGCAAUUUGCGUUCUGUGCUCAGCUUGCAGCGUUCUGCGUCAAGCAUUUGGCGUUCUGUGUCAAGCUUUCUGCGUCAAGCGUUCUGUGUCCAGCAUUCUGCGUCCAGCGUUCUGCGUUCAGCGUUCUGCAUUCUGCAUCAAGCGUUCUGCGUCAAGCGUUCUGCGUCAAGCGUUCUGCGUUCAGCAUGCAGCGUUCAGCAUCCAGCGUUCUGCGCUAUGUGUUCAGCGUUCAGUGUUCAGCGUUCUGCGUUCAGCGUCAAGCGUUCUGUGUCCAGCAUUCUGCGUCCAGCGUUCAGCGUUCUGCGUCAAGCGUUCUGCGUCAAGCGUUCUGCGUCAAGCGUUCUGCGUCAAGCGUUCUGCGUCAAGCGUGCAGCGUUCAGCGUCCAGCGUUCUGCGCUAUGUGUUCAGCGUUCAGCGUUCUGCGUUCAGCGUUCAGCGUCCAGCGUUCUGCGUUCUGUGUCAAGCGUUCGGCGUUCUGUGUCAAGCUUUCUCCGUCAAGCGUUCUGUGUCAAGCGUUCUGCGUUCAGCGUUCUGUGUCAAGCGUUCUGCGUUCAGCGUCCAGCGGUUUGCGUUUUGCGUUCAGUGUUCAGCGUUCUGCGUUCUGCGUUCAGCGUUCUGCGUCAAGCGUUCUGCGUUCAGCGUUCAGCGUCCAGCGUUUUGCGUUCAGUGUUCAGCGUGCAGCGUUCUGUGUCAAGCUUUCUGCGUCAAGCGUUCUGUGUCCAGCAUUCUGCGUUCAGCGUUCUGUGUCCAGCAUUCUGCGUCCAGCGUUCUGCGUUCAGCGUUCUGCGUCCAGCGUUCUGCGUUUUGCGUUCAGUGUUCAGCGUGCAGCUUUCUGUGUCCAGCAUUCUGCGUCCAGCGUUCAGCGUUCAGCGUUCAGCAUUCAGCGUUCUGCGUUCAGCGUUCUGCGUCAAGCGUUCUGCGUCAAGCGUUCUGCGUUCAGCGUCCAGCGUUCUGCGUUUUGCAUUCAGUGUUCAGCGUGCAGCGUUCUGUGUCCAGCAUUCUGUGUCCAGCAUUCUGCGUCCAGCGUUCAGUGUUCUGCGUUCAGCGUUCUGCGUCAAGCGUUCUGCGUUCAGCGUUCAGCGUCCAGCGUUCAGUGUUCAGCGUGCAGCGUUCUGCGUUCUGUGUCAAGCGUUAUGUGUCCAGCAUUCUGCGUCCAGCGUUCUGCGUCAAGCGUUCAGCGUCCAGCGUUCUGCGUUUUGAGUCAGUGUUCAGCGUUCUGCGUCAAGCAUUCUGCGUCAAGCGUUCUGCGUCCAGCGUUCUGCGUUCAGCGUUCUGCGUUCUGCGUCAAGCGUUCUGCGUCAAGCGUUCUGCGUUCAGCGUUCUGCGUUCAGCGUUCUGCGUCAAGCGUUCUGCGUUCUGCGUUCAGCGUUCUGCGUUUUGCGAUCAGUGUUCAGCGUGCAGCGUUCUGUGUCCAGCAUUCUGCGUCCAGCGUUCAGCGUUCUGCGUUCAGCGUUCAGCGUUCUGCGUUCUGCGUCAAGCGUUCUGCGUUCAGCGUCCAGUGUCCAGCGUUCUGCGUUCUGCGUCAAGCGUUCGGCGUUCUGUGUCAAGCUUUCUGCGUCCAGCGUUCUGCGUCAAGCGUUCUGCGUUCAACAUUCAGCGUCCAGCGUCCAGCGUUCUGCGUUCAGUGUUCAGCGUGCAGCGUUCUGUGUCAAGCUUUCUGCGUCAAGCGUUCUGUGUCCAGCAUUCUGCGUCCAGCGUUCAGCGUUCUGUGUCCAGCAUUCUGCGUCCAGCGUUCUGCGUCAAGCGUUCUGCGUCAAGCGUUCUGCGUCAAGCGUUCUGCGUCAAGUGUGCAGCGUCAAGCGUUCGGCGUUCUGUGUCAAGCUUUCUGCGUCAAGCGUCCAGCGUUCAGCGUUCUGCGUUCAGCGUUCUGCGUCAAGCGUUCUGCGUUCAGCGUUCAGCGUCCAGCGUUCAGUGUUCAGCGUGCAGCGUUCUGCGUUCUGUGUCAAGCGUUAUGUGUCCAGCAUUCUGCGUCCAGCGUUCUGCGUCAAGCGUUCAGCGUCCAGCGUUCUGCGUUUUGAGUCAGUGUUCAGCGUUCUGCGUCAAGCAUUCUGCGUCAAGCGUUCUGCGUCCAGCGUUCUGCGUUCAGCGUUCUGCGUUCUGCGUCAAGCGUUCUGCGUCAAGCGUUCUGCGUUCAGCGUUCUGCGUUCAGCGUUCUGCGUCAAGCGUUCUGCGUUCUGCGUUCAGCGUUCUGCGUUUUGCGAUCAGUGUUCAGCGUGCAGCGUUCUGUGUCCAGCAUUCUGCGUCCAGCGUUCAGCGUUCUGCGUUCAGCGUUCAGCGUUCUGCGUUCUGCGUCAAGCGUUCUGCGUUCAGCGUCCAGUGUCCAGCGUUCUGCGUUCUGCGUCAAGCGUUCGGCGUUCUGUGUCAAGCUUUCUGCGUCCAGCGUUCUGCGUCAAGCGUUCUGCGUUCAACAUUCAGCGUCCAGCGUCCAGCGUUCUGCGUUCAGUGUUCAGCGUGCAGCGUUCUGUGUCAAGCUUUCUGCGUCCAGCGUUCUGCGUCAAGCGUUCUGCGUUCAACAUUCAGCGUCCAGCGUCCAGCGUUCUGCGUUCAGUGUUCAGCGUGCAGCGUUCUGUGUCAAGCUUUCUGCGUCAAGCGUUCUGUGUCCAGCAUUCUGCGUCCAGCGUUCAGCGUUCUGUGUCCAGCAUUCUGCGUCCAGCGUUCUGCGUCAAGCGUUCUGCGUCAAGCGUUCUGCGUCAAGCGUUCUGCGUCAAGUGUGCAGCGUCAAGCGUUCGGCGUUCUGUGUCAAGCUUUCUGCGUCAAGCGUUCUGCAUUCAGCGUUCUGCGUCAAGCGUUCUGCAUCCAGCGUUCUGCGUUCAGCGUCAAGCGUUCUGCGUCAAGCGUUCUGCGUUCUGCGUCAAGCGUUCUGCGUUAA